AGUACAGCAGUUGCGUACAGCCAUGAUAAAAGGGAGGUGAAGGCCCAUUUCGCGAUUUUCUUUUCGUGGAGGUUGGGCUCGCGUGUUUCUCUGCGCUGUGGUCGUCAUGGACCGGAAGCGUGUGCAGCGCGCCUGCCUUGAGGCCAGCAUCAGGGAAGGGUGUUCCCAGGUGCAGAGGAAGUGUCCUUCACGUGUUCCUGGAGGACUUUCGGCUCGCAAGCGCUUCUCCAUUCUCCCAGCGUCUCGGGCCUGAUCUUCGAAAGGGAAGGACCUAGGAACUGAAGCCAGACCCCCACCUCUGCAAGAGUUCCUUGCUGGAGUCACUCAGCAGACCCCCACUCUCUGGACUUUGGGGACAUGAGACUGCUGAGCACCUCCACCAGAGGGAAAGUGGAAGUGGCCCCAAGAAAGAGGGAACCACGAAGCAGUUUCAGUGUGGAAAGAAGAAACCCUCUGGUGGCCUUGGCCCGGGAAUAUGGCGGUUUCAAGUGCAAUGCUGUACUGAAAUGGUACCAGAAGAAGACAGAAGGUUACAUGUCUCCCUCUGAUGCCGAGCCAAAGCUGGACUGUACUGCUGCCAUCUCAGCUCACUGCAACCUCCCUGCCAGAUUCUCCUGCCUCAGCCUGCCGAGUGCCUGCGAUUGCAGGCGCGCGCCGCCACGCCUGACUGGUUUUCGUAUUUUUUUGGUGGAGACGGGGUUUCGCUGUGUUGGCCGGGCUGGUCUCCAGCUCCUAACCGCGAGUGAUCCGCCAGCCUCGGCCUCCCGAGGUGCCGGGAUGGCAGACGGAGUCGCGUUCACUCAGUGCUCAAUGGUGCCCAGGCUGGAGUGCAGUGGCGUGAUCUCGGCUCGCUACAACCUCCACCUCCCAGCUGCCUGCCUUGGCCCCCCAAAGUGCCGAGAUUGCAGCCUCUGCCCGGCCGCCACCCCGUCUGGGAAGUGAGGAGCAUCUCUGCCUGGCCGCCCAUCGUCUGGGAUGUGAGGAGCCUCUCUGCCUGGCUGCCCAGUCUGGAAAGUGAGGAGCGUCUCUGCCCGGCCGCCAUCCCAUCUAGGAAGUGAGGAGCGUCUCUGCCAGGCCGCCCAUGGUCUGAGAUGUGGGGAGCGCCUCUGCCCUGCCGCCCCAUCUGGGAUGUGAGGAGUGUCUCUGCCCGGCCGCCCCGUCUGAGAAGUGAGGAGACCCUCUGCCUGGCAACCGCCCCGUCUGAGAAGAGAACUAUUUAUGCAGUUAGAAAGAGAGGGAAUAUUUAUGGAAGACACUGCGUGGCCUUUUCUAACACGGAAGCUGCAUUUAAGAGCCUUAGGGAUGAAGUGCCCUUUUGUGGAGGAGGCUCACUGAGCAGUGUUGGAGGCUGUGUUUGUGGUCGUGCUGGCUGUGAAACUGCCUCAGUCCUUCCUCUAGGACACACCCUCUCCAUCCUGGAAUAAUCUGCAGGAUUGCAACAUUGUUAAGCAGCCAGUAUUGCGGUGCCUUGUGCUUUUCACAUCCAGACAGGGUUGAUUCAGCCCUUUAUUCUUUUGAGGUCAUGUGAAACUAACAGACUUUGGACUAUGCAAAGAAUCAUUCAUGACGGAACAGUCACACACACAUUUUGUGGAACAAUAGAAUACAUGUGAGCUGCAUGUUAAACAUAAUUGGUUUGGAGCCUCCAUUUACUGGGGAGAAUAGAAAGAAAACAAUUGACAACAUCCUCAAAUGUAAACUAAUUUGCCUCCCUACCUCACACAAGAAGCCAGAGAUCUGCUUAAAAAGCUACUGAAAAGAAAUGCUGCUUCUCAUCUGGGAGCUGGUCCUGGGGAUGCUGGAGAUGUUCAAGCUCAUCCAUUCUUUAGACACAUUAACUGGGAAGAACUUCUGGCUCGAAAGGUGGAGCCCCCAUUUAAACCUCUGUUGGUGCAUCACCCGGAUCUCUGCCUUCAUGUUCACAUGGUGUUCUACCUGUCAAUCUGAAGAGGAUGUAAGUCAGUUUGAUUCCAAGUUUACACGUCAGACACCUGUCGACAGCCCAGAUGACUCAACUCUCAGUGAAAGUGCCCAUCAGGUCUUUCUGGGUUUUACUUAUGUGGCUCCAUCUGUACUUGAAGUGUGAAAGAAAAGUUUUCCUUUGAACCAAAAAUCCGAUCACCUCGAAGAUUUAUUGGCAGCCCACGAACACCUGUCAGCCCAAUUUUCUCCUGGGGAUUUCUGGGGAAGAGGCGCUUCGGCCAGCACAGCAAAUCCUCAGACACCUGUGGAAUACCCAAUGGAAACAAGUGGCACAGAGCAGAUGGAUGUGACAACGAGUGGGGAAGCAUUGGCACCACUUCCAAUACGACAGCCGAACUCUGGGCCAUACAAAAAACAAGCUUUUCCCAUGAUCUCCAAACGGCCAGAGCACCUGCGUAUGAAUCUAUGCCACAGCAAUGCUUUUAAUGAAUUUAAGGCAAAAAAGGUGGAGAGGCCGAUGUGUGAGCAUCCUACAGGGUGAAACAAGACUCAAAGUGACAAUUUCAGAGAGUCAGUGUCAUUACAUAGAACACUUUGGACAGAGGAAAAAUAAACAUGGAUUUUAAAAAAAUCAAUCAAUCGUGCAAAAAAACUUAAAGCAAAAUAGUACUGCUGAACACUCAGGCACAUCAAUUAAUUGUUUCCUCGUGACAUCUUCUCAACCUUAUCAAGGAUUUUCAUGUUGAUGACUCGAAACUGACAGUAUUAAGGGUAGGAUGUUGCUUCUGAAUCACUGUUGAGUUCUAACUGUGUCGAAGAAGGGUUAUCCUUUCAUUAGGCAAAGUACAAAAUUGCCUAUAAUACUUGCAACUAAGGACAAAUUAGCAUGCAAGCUUGGUCAAACUUUUUCCAGCAACAUGGAAUCAAAGACAAAAGAAACUUACCAAUUGAUGUUUUACGUGAACAUAACCUGAAUCUUUUUUUAUAUAAAUAUAUAUUUUUCAAGUAGAUUUUUGAUUCAGCUCAUUAUGAAAAACAUCCCAAACUUUAAAAUGCGAAAUUAUUAGUUGGUGUGAAGAAAGCCAAACAACUUCCGUUUCUUCUCUUGGUGAAAUAAUAAAAUGCAAAUGAAUCAUUGUUAACCACAUCUGUGGCUCGUUCGAGGGACUGGGGUGGACCUGGGGUUUAUUUUCAGUAACCCAGCUGCAAUACUCGUCUGUAAUAUGAGAAAAAAAAAGAAUCUAUUUAAUCAUUUCUACUUGCAGUACUGCUAUGUGCUAAGCUUAACUGGAAGCCUUGGAAUGGGCAUAAGUUGUAUGUCCUACAUUUCAUCAUUGUCCCGGGCCUGCAUUGCACUGGAAAAAAAAUCGCCACCUGUUCUUACACCAGUAUUUGGUUCAAGACGCCAAAUGUGUUCAGCCCAUGGCUGAAGAACAACAGAAGAGAGUCAGGAUAAAAAAUACAUACUGCGGUCGGCAAGGUGAGAGAGAUAGGGAUAUCCAGGGGAAGAGGGUGUUGCUGUGGCCCACUCUCUGUCUAAUCUCUUCACAGCAAAUUGGUAAGAUUUUCAGUUUUAUUUCUUUCUACUGUUUCUACUGUCUACCUUCCUUAUAUUUUUCUCCUCAACAGUUUUAAAAAGAAAAAAAGGUCUAUUUUUUUUUCUCCUAUACUGGGGCUACAUUUUUUUAUUGUAAAAAUAUUUGAUGGCCUUUUGAUGAAUGUCUUCCACAGUAAAUAAGAAAACUUAGUGGCUUCAUUUAGGAAACAUGUUAACAGGACACUAUGUUUUUGAAAUUAUAACCAAAUCUACAUAAAUGAUUUACAGGUACAAAGAAUAAAAGUAAAGGUAACUUUACCUUCCUUAAAUAUUUCCUGCCUUAAAGAGAGCAUUUCCAUGACUUUAGCUAGUGAAAGGGUUUAAUAUCUGCAGAGCUUUGUAAAAAUAUAUUUCAGUGCAUACUGGUAUAACAGAUGAUCAUGCAGUUGCAGUUGAGUUUUACCACCUCUUUUUGUUUGUCUUUUAUAAUGUCUUCAGUCUGAGCAUGCAGUCAAUCUGUAAUAUUUUGCAACCCUAGGAUUUUUUCAAAUAGAUCCUUUUUGAGCCAUAGGAUCCAAGCCAUAAAAUUCUUUAUGCAUGAUGAAUUCAGUCAGAAAAGAGCAAGGCUUUGCUUUUUGAAAUUGCAACUCAAAUGAGAUGGGAUGAAAUCCUAUGACAGUAAGCAAAAACAGAACCAUGAAAAAUGAUUGGAAAUAUACCUUUUCAAUUGUGGCAAUAAUUGAAAGAAUCGAUAAAAGUUCAUCUUUGGACAGAAAGCCUUUUAAAAAAAAUCACUCCCUCUUCCCCCUCCUCCCUUAUUGCAGCAGCCUACUGAGAACUUUAUGACUGUUGCUGGUAACUUAGAAGCUACAAUAAUAAUUAAGGGCAGAAAUUAUACUUAAAGUGUAGAUCCUUGUUCUCUGACAAUUUGUGAUGUCUGAAAAAACAGAACCUGAAAAGCUAUGGUGACGUGUACAGGCAUUAUUUCAGACUGUAAAUGGCUUGUGAUACUCUUGAUACUUGUUUUCAAAUAUGUUUACUAACUGUAGUGUUGACUGCCUGACCAAAUUCCAGUGAAACUUAUACACCAAAAUAUUCCUCCUAGGUCCUAUUUGCUAGUAACAUGAGCACUGUGAUUGGCUGGCUAUAACCACCCCAGUUAAACCAUUUUGAUAAUUAGUAGUGCCAGCAAUAGUGGCAAACGCUGCAACUUUUCUGCAUAAAAAGCAUUAAUUGCACAGCUACCAUCCACACAAAUACAUAGUUUUUCUGACUUCACAUUUAUUAAGUGAAAUUAAUUUCCCAUGCUGUGGAAAGUUUAUUGAGAACUUGUUUCAUAAAUGGAUAUCCCUACUAUGACUGUGAAAACGUGUCAAGUGUCACAUUAGUGUCACAGAAAGCACACACCCGUGCAAUAUGCCUUAUCUAUCUUUAUUUGUAAAAAUCCAAGCAUAGUUUAAAAUAUGAAGUCAAUAUUACCAGUCUUCAGUUUCUAAGAGGGUUCUUUAUGAUUAUACUAAGUGUAUAAAAGAGUUUAAGUGCUUUCUUUUUCAUCACUUACUUUCUUUAAAAUCAGCUAUUACAGGAUUUUUUUUAUUUUAUACAUGCUGUUUUUUAAGUAAAAUAUAAUCACUGAAUUGAAGUUUACUAAUUUGAUUUUAUAAGGUUUGUAGCAUUACAGAAUAACUAAACUGGGACUUAUAAACCAGCUGUGAUUAACAAUGUAAAGUAUUAAUUAUUGAACUUUGAACCAGAUUUUUAGGAAAAUUAUGUUCUUUUUCCCCUUUUAUGGUCUUAACUAAUUUGAAUCCUUCAAGAAGGAUUUUUCCAUACUAUUUUUUGAGAUAGAAGAUAAUUUGAGGGGAGGGGUGGAGGAUGCAUGUAUGAUACUCCAAAAUGUCAACAUUCUUUACUAUAGGUAAUAAGUGAUUAUAAACAAGAUGCAUUUUAGAUAGCAUUAAUAUAUUGAGCCUUGGAUUAUAUAUUUGAUAUAGGACCUGUUUUGAAUAUUCAGUUAAUCAUAUGGUUCCUAGUUUACAAGAAGAGCUAGAUCUAAGAUUAUUCCCAUGAGAAAUGUUGAAUUUAUGAAGAAUAGAUUUUGAGGCUUUGAAAAUGGUUAAUUUCUCAAAAACAUCAAUGUCCAAACAUCUACCUUUUUUCAUAGGAGUAGACACUAGCAAGCUGGACAAACUAUCAUAAAAGUAUUUGUCACACAUAACCUGUGGUCUGUUGUUGAUUAAUACAGUACUUUUUCUUGUGUGAUUCUUAACAUUAUAGCACAAGUAUUAUCUCAGUGGAUUAUCUGGAAUAACAUCUGAAAGAUGGGUUCGUGUAUGUUUGUGUUUGCGCUUUAAAUUAUUGUUUCUCCUAUCCCAAGUUGGCUUUGCAUCUAUCAGUAAAUAAAACUAUUCAGCUGCGUUAUCAGGAGUGCUGUGCUUUUCUGCUUUUCAUCUUGUAUUUAGUUUACUGUAUUAUUUGAUUUUGGAUUGAAUGAAUGUAAAUAGAAAUUAAAUGCAAAUUUGAAUGAACAUAAAA
RNA transcript from Homo sapiens (human), 5995 nucleotides. It is a transcript of the gene named ribosomal protein S6 kinase B1 pseudogene, with no coding region annotated. The record is from RefSeq and is marked validated. The transcript has 14 exons. NCBI's taxonomy places the organism in Eukaryota, Metazoa, Chordata, Mammalia, Primates, Hominidae.